UACGGCGGGUGCGAGCGUUGUCCGGAAUCACUGGGCGUAAAGGGCGCGUAGGCGGCGCGGGGAGUCAACGGUGAAAGCUCGGCGCUCAACGCCGAGUCGGCCGUCGAUACUCCCGUGCUUGAGCACUGUAGAGGCAGGUGGAAUUCCGGGUGUAGCGGUGGAAUGCGUAGAGAUCCGGAAGAACACCGGUGGCGAAGGCGGCCUGCUGGGCAGUAGCUGACGCUGAGGCGCGACAGCGUGGGGAGCAAACAGG
RNAcentral lists this ribosomal RNA (253 nucleotides) under uncultured bacterium. RNAcentral's name for it is "partial 16S ribosomal RNA". It matches the Rfam family "Bacterial small subunit ribosomal RNA", at positions 524 to 776 of the family's 1533-position model. The record is from RNAcentral.